Molecule: long non-coding RNA, 913 nt
Organism: Macadamia integrifolia
Lineage: Eukaryota; Viridiplantae; Streptophyta; Magnoliopsida; Proteales; Proteaceae
Exons: 3
Source: RefSeq, a predicted model, not a curated record
CCAGAGAAUGUAAUUCCGUAGAAUAAUGAUUUUCUAUUUCUUUAAUCUGUUUGGUUCCACUUGAAGAUAAUUCAUGGUAGCAGAUUCUAUGGUAGCAUAUUUACACAAUAGGAGAUCUCAAAAUCGAAACACAUGAUUCCAGCCUAGGUAUAAAAGAGCGUAGUUCUUAAGUGAACCUUGAGGAUCGGGUUGUGAUCUGCUUGUUGCUGUUCUUUGAAAGUUUUGGAGUUGUGGACCUCUUGGAAGCCGAUUAGAGGUUGUAUCAGGCGACUAAAUGCCUUUUAGCAAAUCGUCUCGAGCCUCUAGCAGAUCAUCUUAGUUGAUGUAUUAGAAAAAUUAUCUGUUGCAAGUGGAGAGUUUCAGACCAAAGAAAGUGUCCCAUUAAUUCAUCCAAAAGGUUCUAAUCAUGCUCGAGGUCGGCCUAAAUUAACAAGUGCUUUUGGUAGAGAGAAGAGAAAGAAGGGGACAGCUGAAAAGAUAUCAAGCUCGUUGAAGGCAAUAGCAUAUGUAUGGACGUCUAGUCACCACUGAGUUAGGUGAUGACCUUGCAGAUAGGCUUUCUGAUGCAAUUGACAUGAUCCCAACUAUUGACUUCAACAAAAAAUGACAUGCUAAAAAAUUCUUUGUGCAACACCGGAACCUAUGCAAUCUAUUCUUGAAAGCAAGUGAUGUGAAUAAGCCAAAGGUGUUGGAGUUGUAUAUGAGAAGGCAGGGACACAGAUGAUGAAUGUUGACAUAGAUGAAUGAUUUUUUUUUUGGACUAUGCACUGAUGGGAAAAAAAUGAAUUUUUUUUUGUUUAAUUACUUUUUAUAGGAGUUUAUGAAUGGUAUGGAUUGAUGAUUCAAGUAGGUUUCAUUUGACUAUGGAAGUUAUGGAUGAUAUGGAUGAAUAAUGAACAUGUUGAUAUGUUAA